AGUUGAGGCUCUAUCAAGCUACACUAAGCUAAACCUAGGAAAGCAAUAAAGAAAUGCAAAUAAAUAAAGAUAAAUAAAAGACUUCAUUUUCAUUCAUUGAUUAAAAUAUGAAGGAACAUUACACAUAUAUAUAAGACUCUAAUGGGCCUAAGGGAUAAAGCCCAACCAAACAAAACUUAAUAACAUAAAUGACCAACUAAUAAUAUAAAUAUUAUGUCUCAUUAAUAUCCAAUUAUUUAAUUAACUACUACUUAUAAUUAUUUAACUAACGACCUCCUAAUCUUCUAUCAUUGCCGCCGGGUUCACUUGAACCUUGUCCUCAAGGUUCAGAAACAUGAUUGGAUGAAUGUGAAGUGAAGCAGCCCAAGUGAUUUUUGUUUUUGUCCAUUACUCUUAAGCCCAAAUCAAGAAGUCCAUAAAAAAUGUGCACAUAGGAUGUUGCCUUAAUAUAAUGGAUAAUAGCUGGACAUAGAUGCCUCCUACAUCACGUCGGUGUUUGUGGGUUGUUGUGCUAGUAGACAAAAUAAUUUGGACAUGUGGCAAUUUUGUAUUGGAAGGAUUUGUUUAGUGGGUGAUAGGUGGCAUAAGGAGAGAUGUAGUUUGUCCCCUAGUGAAUUGAUANNN
Molecule: long non-coding RNA, 624 nt
Filed under: Trifolium pratense (red clover)
Lineage: Eukaryota; Viridiplantae; Streptophyta; Magnoliopsida; Fabales; Fabaceae
Description: long non-coding RNA (TPRA_LNC001273)
Source: RNAcentral